This 460-nucleotide ribosomal RNA is filed under the name uncultured bacterium. RNAcentral's name for it is "partial 16S ribosomal RNA". It matches the Rfam family "Bacterial small subunit ribosomal RNA", at positions 338 to 795 of the family's 1533-position model. The record is from RNAcentral.
CCUACUGGGGACAUCAUUGAGGCAUCUUGGUCAAUGGACGAGAGUCUGAACCAUCAAACUAGCCUGAAGUCUUCCUUCCCUCUUUUUUUUCCCCUUCUUUUCUCCCUUCCUCUAACGAGUCGCGUGUGCCUUUUUGCAUGUACUUUAUGAAUAAGGAUCGUCUAACUCCGUGCCAGCAGCGGCGGUAAUACGGAGGAUCCGAGCGUUAUCCGGAUUUAUUGGGUUUAAAGGGAGCGUAGAUGGGUUGUUAAGUCAGUUGUGAAAGUUUGCGGCUCAACCGUAAAAUUGCAAUUGAUACUGGCAGUCUUGAGUACAGUUGAGGUAGGCGGAAUUCGUGGUGUAGCGGUGAAAUGCUUAGAUAUCACGAAGAACCCCGAUUGCGAAGGCAGCUUACUAAACUGUGACUGACAUUGAUGCUCGAAAGUGUGGGUAUCAAACAGGAUUAGAGAAAAGGGUAGUC